AAAAAUGUUUUUUAAUAAGUAUAGAAAAACUUUAUAAAUCAUGUUUCCCAUAUCACCGCAAUAUUUUUGUUUUUAAUAAUUACUUUCAAUUUUUAAUCUACAAAAAGUCAUCUUCGAUCUGUCGAUAUGAUGAUAUGAUAUGUCAAAAAAAAGUUCUUGUAGUCUAAUAACUGGUUUCUUUUCUGUAGAACCGGGAACCAGUUGUAACUUAUUAGUUAGUUUCGUAUUUUAUUUCUAUAUUUCCCUUUAUCGCAUUUCUAAAGUAUUAUCAUAUUCGAAGAUAGAUAUUUUAAUUGAGAAACUGUAUUAUUUACGACAAUAAUUUGUAUUAAAGCAGAAUUCUUCAUUAGAUAAAAUUUGUUCCAAACUUCCGGAUACUCUCACCGCCUUUUUUAAAUUGGGAAAACAACGAGACAUGCUAGAAGAGUAGUUCUACAGAAUAGCGUUUAGUCUAAGAGGUCCAGUAUUUGGUGUCACAGGGUGGUCACAGCCCUUCAAACUGUAUAGGAAGGAUGAUGAAAAAGGUGUGGCACUAAUCAGUUAUGGGCCAAAUACAGUCUGAAGGGACAAAAGGGAAAAGAGGCAUUCACAGGUCACCCUUUGUGCAGAAUAAUCAUGAAAAGUUGUGCAAGAGUGUUCCCAAAAUCCAAGGUUGCCGAUAUGGAGGAGGUCUUAAUUCCUAAAACAGGCCCCACACAAGCCAUGAGGACCAAAAUAUAAGAAACCUGUAAGAAAAGGACUGAUGAUAUUGCAAGAAGAAUUAGAGUCUGAACAAAUAAAUCUGUUUAAAAGUACUUGAUUCUACUGAUUUUAGUCCUGUCAAUACUGUUUUUUUUUUUGUUGCAAAGUAUUUAAAGAUGUUUAUAAAACUAUAUUCCAAUUUCUGCAACAAUUAAAGCUUUGGUUAUAAACUAGA
Mytilus californianus (California mussel) is the source of this 916-nucleotide long non-coding RNA. RefSeq lists it as uncharacterized. The record is from RefSeq and is a predicted model, not a curated record. NCBI's taxonomy places the organism in Eukaryota, Metazoa, Mollusca, Bivalvia, Mytilida, Mytilidae. The transcript has 4 exons.